Molecule: ribosomal RNA, 434 nt
Filed under: uncultured bacterium
Lineage: Bacteria
Description: partial 16S ribosomal RNA
Rfam family: Bacterial small subunit ribosomal RNA
Source: RNAcentral
AGCGAACGCUGGCGGCAGGCCUAACACAUGCAAGUCGAACGAACCUUUCGGGGUUAGUGGCGGACGGGUGAGUAACACGUGGGAACGUGCCUUUAGGUUCGGAAUAACUCAGGGAAACUUGUGCUAAUACCGAAUGUGCCCUUCGGGGGAAAGAUUAAUCGCCUUUAGAGCGGCAGGCGUCUGAUUAGCUAGUUGGUUGAGGUAAUGGCUCACCAAGGCGACGAUCAGUAGCUGGUCUGAGAGGAUGAUCAGCCACAUUGGGACGGAGACACGGCCCAAACUCCUACGCGAGGCAGCAGUGGGGAAUCUUGCGCAAUGGGGGAAAGCCUGACGCAGCCAGGCCGGGUGAAUGAUGAAGGUAGGAGGAUAGUAAAGUUCUUUCACCGGGGACGAUAAUGACGGUACCCGGAGAAGAAGCCCCGGCUAACUUCGUG